AGAUGCAGUGAAGUCGAGAUUGAAUGGUCCAGCGACCUUGUGAUCCAGUGCGAUCGAGUGGAUGUCAUGAGGUGGUGAUCGAGUGCUUUCUUCGGCUUCUCUUCUCUUCUUUGUUCUCAGCUUGUCUGGUUGAGUGCGGAACGAGCAGAUAGGCUUCCUGGUGGUCGAGUGGUGAUCGAGUGGUUCUGAUGGGGUGAUUCCUCUGGCUUCGCGAUUGAGUGAAACUGAGCUGCUUGCUUCUCCGGGGUUGCGAUAGAGUGAUUUGCCCUGGCAGGGCUUCGAGGCUACGAUAGAGUACUUUUGCUGAAGGCGUCAUUGGGCAUUCUGACUUCUUGUUCUGUUUUUCCUCUGUUUGAACUCCAAAAGCAUCCAAAGUACCUGAAAACAACCAAAUAUGCCAUGCACAUGCAGUCCUAAUUGAAAAUCGUCCUAAGUAUGUAAAACACACUAAAACGACUCCUAAUGAGAUGAAAUGUGGAUAAAACAAUGACAAAGUGGUGAAGAAUGAAUGCCUAAAUCAUGCAAAUUAUAGACACAUCAAAGCUCUCUGAUGAAUGAGGAAGCACAAUGGAAUUCUUCUAUUUGUAUUUUUCUACUCCAAAUUUUGACCUUAAUGUACUUUUUCAGGCCUUUUUGUGAUCUUUUCUAUAUUACGGGGCGAAAAUUAUAUGUUCGGACAUUGUUUUUGAAUAUUUUGCGUUAAUCAAAGCUCAUAUAAACAAGAUAGGGUAUUCCUACAUAGCUGGUGGAACCCACGGCAAAUGGAUCAUAAAGUCUUCAAAAAAGAGUAGAUACGAUUGCAUUGCAUGUAGUAACGGAUGCGAUCAUACCAGCAUUAAUGCACCGGAUCCCAUCAGAACUCUGCAGUUAAGCGUGCUUGGGCGAGAGUUGUACUAGGAUGGGUGACCUCCAGGAAAUUCCUCGUGUUGCAUCCCUCUUUUUUUUCUCGGUUUUUCUCUUUUUUGUUUUGUUAAAAAUAUAUGAUUCUAUAACUUUUAGACCGUGAGGCCAAACUUGGCAUGUGAUACCUUUUCGGAAAGCCCAAAGAGAGCUCUCCAAUUAAUGAGGAAGGAAAAUGGAAUUCUUCUAUUGUUUUUUUUUUCUACUCCAAAUUUUGACCUACAUGUACUUUUUCGGGCCAUUUCGUGAUCUGUGCUAUAUUACGGGGCAAAAAUUAUAUGUUCGGACAUUGUUUUCGAAUAUUUUACAUGUAUCAAAGCUCAUAUAAACAAGAUAGGGUACUCCUACAUAGCUGGUGGGACCCACGCCAAAUGGAUCAUAAAGUC
Molecule: small RNA, 1286 nt
Filed under: Arabidopsis thaliana (thale cress)
Lineage: Eukaryota; Viridiplantae; Streptophyta; Magnoliopsida; Brassicales; Brassicaceae
Source: RNAcentral